Molecule: non-coding RNA, 54 nt
Organism: Salmo salar (Atlantic salmon)
Lineage: Eukaryota; Metazoa; Chordata; Actinopteri; Salmoniformes; Salmonidae
Source: Rfam
GUCUGACACUACUGUAAGUCGCUCUGGAUAAGAGCGUCUGCUAACUGACUAAAA